Molecule: ribosomal RNA, 249 nt
Filed under: uncultured bacterium
Lineage: Bacteria
Description: partial 16S ribosomal RNA
Rfam family: Bacterial small subunit ribosomal RNA
Source: RNAcentral
AUACGUAGGUGGCGAGGCGUUGUCCGGAAUUACUGGGCGUAAAGGGUGCGUAGGCGGAUAUUUAAGUCAGAUGUGAAAUUCCCGGGCUCGAACCUGGGAAGUGCAUUUGAAACUGGGUAUCUAGAGUGCAGGAGAGGGAAGCGGAAUUCCUAGUGUAGCGGUGAAAUGCGUAGAUAUUAGGAAGAACACCAGUGGCGAAGGCGGCUUCCUGGACUGUAACUGACGCUGAGGCACGAAAGCGUGGGGAGC